RNAcentral lists this ribosomal RNA (497 nucleotides) under uncultured bacterium. Its description in RNAcentral is "partial 16S ribosomal RNA". It matches the Rfam family "Bacterial small subunit ribosomal RNA", at positions 28 to 507 of the family's 1533-position model. The record is from RNAcentral.
GAUGAACGCUGGCGGCGUGCCUAAUACAUGCAAGUCGAGCGAACAGACGAGGAGCUUGCUCCUCUGACGUUAGCGGCGGACGGGUGAGUAACACGUGGAUAACCUACCUAUAAGACUGGGAUAACUUCGGGAAACCGGAGCUAAUACCGGAUAAUAUAUUGAACCGCAUGGUUCAAUAGUGAAAGACGGUUUUGCUGUCACUUAUAGAUGGAUCCGCGUCGCAUUAGCUAGUUGGUAAGGUAACGGCUUACCAAGGCAACGAUGCGUAGCCGACCUGAGAGGGUGAUCAGCCACACUGGAACUGAGACACGGUCCAGACUCCUACGGGAGGCAGCAGUAGGGAAUCUUCCGCAAUGGGCGAAAGCCUGACGGAGCAACGCCGCGUGAGUGAUGAAGGUCUUCGGAUCGUAAAACUCUGUUAUUAGGGAAGAACAAAUGUGUAAGUAACUAUGCACGUCUUGACGGUACCUAAUCAGAAAGCCAUGGCUAACUACGUG